This 442-nucleotide ribosomal RNA is filed under the name uncultured bacterium. Its description in RNAcentral is "partial 16S ribosomal RNA". It matches the Rfam family "Bacterial small subunit ribosomal RNA", at positions 338 to 795 of the family's 1533-position model. The record is from RNAcentral.
CCUACGGGGGGCUGCAGUGGGGCAUAUUGGGCAAUGGGCGCAAGCCUGACCCAGCAACGCCGCGUGAAGGAAGAAGGCUUUCCGGUUGUUAACCUCUUUUGUUAGGGAAGAGUAGAAGACGGUGCCUGCCGAAUAAGCCAUGUCUAACUACGUGCCAGCAGCCGCGGUAAUACGUAGGUGGCAGGCGUUGUCCGGAUUUACUGGGUGUAAAGGGCGUGUAGCCGGGUUGACAAGUCAGUUGUGAAAGCCUGCGGCUUAACCGCAGAACUGCAUUUGAAACUGUUGAUCUUGAGUACUGCAGGGGCAGACGGAAUUCCUGGUGUAGCGGUGAAAUGCGUAGAUAUUAGGAGGAACACCAGUGGCGAAGGCGGUCUGCUGGACAGCAACUGACGGUGAGGCGCGAAAGCGUGGGGAGCAAACAGGAUUAGAUACCCCAGUAGUC